This 420-nucleotide ribosomal RNA is filed under the name uncultured Nitrososphaerota archaeon. RNAcentral describes it as "bacterial SSU rRNA". It matches the Rfam family "Archaeal small subunit ribosomal RNA", at positions 459 to 879 of the family's 1478-position model. The record is from RNAcentral. Lineage: Archaea; Thermoproteati; Nitrososphaerota.
CAGCCGCCGCGGUAAAACCAGCACCUCGAGUGGUCAGGAGGUUUAUUGGGCCUAAAGCAUCCGUAGCCGGUUGCAUAAGUUUUCGGUUAAAUCUAUGCGCUCAACGUAUAGGCCGCCGAAAAUACUGUGCAGCUAGGGAGUGGGAGAGGUACACGGUACUCAAUAGGAAGGGGUAAAAUCCUUUGAUCUAUUGAUGACCACCUGUGGCGAAGGCGGUGUACCAGAACACGUUCGACGGUGAGGGAUGAAAGCUGGGGGAGCAAACCGGAUUAGAUACCCGGGUAGUCCCAGCUGUAAACGAUGUAUACUCGGUGAUGCAUUGGCUUGUGGUCAAUGCAGUGCCGCAGGUAAGCCGUUAAGUCUGCCGCCUGCGAAGUACGUACCCCUGUAUGAAACUUAAAGGAAUUGGCGGGGGAGCAC